AAUCAACGCUGGCGGCGUGCCUCAGACAUGCAAGUCGAACGAUUAAAGCUCUCUUCGGAGAGUGCAUAGAGUGGCGCACGGGUGAGUAACACGUAAGUAAUCUACCUUCGAGUGGGGAAUAACGUCCGGAAACGGGCGCUAAUACCGCAUAAUGCAGCGGCAUCGCAAGAUGACAGUUGUUAAAGGAGCAAUCCGCUUGAAGAGGAGCUUGCGGCAGAUUAGCUAGUUGGUGAGGUAAAGGCUCACCAAGGCGACGAUCUGUAGCGGGUCUGAGAGGAUGAUCCGCCACACUGGAACUGAGACACGGUCCAGACUCCUACGGGAGGCAGCAGUGGGGAAUUUUGGACAAUGGGCGCAAGCCUGAUCCAGCCAUGCCGCGUGAGUGAAGAAGGCC
This 394-nucleotide ribosomal RNA is filed under the name uncultured bacterium. Its description in RNAcentral is "bacterial SSU rRNA". It matches the Rfam family "Bacterial small subunit ribosomal RNA", at positions 32 to 416 of the family's 1533-position model. The record is from RNAcentral.